Molecule: transfer RNA, 74 nt
Filed under: Paraconexibacter algicola
Lineage: Bacteria; Bacillati; Actinomycetota; Thermoleophilia; Solirubrobacterales; Paraconexibacteraceae
Also listed under: 1 other name
Rfam family: tRNA
About the family: Transfer RNA (tRNA) molecules are approximately 80 nucleotides in length.
Source: Rfam by way of RNAcentral
GCCCCAGUAGCUCAGCUGGAUAGAGCAGCCGACUUCUAAUCGGCAGGUCGUUGGUUCGAAUCCAACCUGGGGUG